GUGGGGAAUAUUGGACAAUGGACGAAAGUCUGAUCCAGCGACGCCGCGUGAGUGAUGAAGGCCUUCGGGUUGUAAAGCUCUGUCAGGAGGGAAGAAUCAGCCCUGGGAACAAUACCCCGGGGCCGUGACGGUACCUCCGAAGGAAGCACCGGCUAACUCCGUGCCAGCAGCCGCGGUAAUACGGAGGGUGCAAGCGUUGCUCGGAAUUACUGGGCGUAAAGCGUGUGUAGGCGGCCCUGCAAGUUGGGUGUGAAAGCCCAAGGCUUAACUUUGGAACUGCGCCCAAAACUGUGGGGCUUGAGUGCCGGAGAGGGUGGUAGAAUUCCCAGUGUAGAGGUGAAAUUCGUAGAUAUUGGGAGGAACACCAGUGGCGAAGGCGGCCACCUGGACGGACACUGACGCUGAGACACGAAAGCGUGGGGAGCAAACAGGAUUAGAUACCCCUGUAGUCC
Molecule: ribosomal RNA, 452 nt
Filed under: uncultured bacterium
Lineage: Bacteria
Description: bacterial SSU rRNA
Rfam family: Bacterial small subunit ribosomal RNA
Source: RNAcentral